RNAcentral lists this ribosomal RNA (497 nucleotides) under uncultured bacterium. Its description in RNAcentral is "partial 16S ribosomal RNA". It matches the Rfam family "Bacterial small subunit ribosomal RNA", at positions 28 to 507 of the family's 1533-position model. The record is from RNAcentral.
GAUGAACGCUGGCGGCGUGCCUAAUACAUGCCAGUCGAGCGAACAGACGAGGAGCUUGCUCCUCUGACGUUAGCGGUGGACGGGUGAGUAACACGUGGAUAACCUACCUAUAAGACUGGGAUAACUUCGGGAAACCGGAGCUAAUACCGGAUAACAUGUUGAACCGCAUGGUUCAACAGUGAAAGACGGUCUUGCUGUCACUUAUAGAUGGAUCCGCGCCGCAUUAGCUAGUUGGUAAGGUAACGGCUUACCAAGGCAACGAUGCGUAGCCGACCUGAGAGGGUGAUCGGCCACACUGGAACUGAGACACGGUCCAGACUCCUACGGGAGGCAGCAGUAGGGAAUCUUCCGCAAUGGGCGAAAGCCUGACGGAGCAACGCCGCGUGAGUGAAGAAGGUCUUCGGAUCGUAAAACUCUGUUAUUAGGGAAGAACAAAUGUGUAAGUAACUAUGCACGUCUUGACGGUACCUAAUCAGAAAGCCACGGCUAACUACGUG